GAUGAACGCUAGCGGCAGGCCUAACACAUGCAAGUCGAGGGAGGAGCUUUCGGGCUUCGACCGGCGUACGGGUGCGUAACGCGUAUACAAUCUGCCUUUCACAUAGGGAUAGCCCGAAGAAAUUUGGAUUAAUACCUAAUGGUAUAUAGAGGUGGCAUCACCUUUAUAUUAAAGCUGAGGCGGUGAAAGAUGAGUAUGCGUUCUAUUAGCUAGUUGGAGAGGUAACGGCUCCCCAAGGCGACGAUAGAUAGGGGUUCUGAGAGGGAUAUCCCCCACACUGGUACUGAGAUACGGACCAGACUCCUACGGGAGGAAGCAGUGAGGAAUAUUGGACAAUGGUCGGAAGACUGAUCCAGCCAUGCCGCGUGCAGGAAGACGGCCUUAUGGGUUGUAAACUGCUUUUGCAGGGGAAGAAUAAGGACUACGCGUAGUUUGAUGACGGUACUCUGCGAAUAAGCAUCGGCUAACUCCGUG
This 474-nucleotide ribosomal RNA is filed under the name uncultured bacterium. RNAcentral describes it as "partial 16S ribosomal RNA". It matches the Rfam family "Bacterial small subunit ribosomal RNA", at positions 28 to 507 of the family's 1533-position model. The record is from RNAcentral.